GAAACUGUAAUAUAAAUAUAUACGGGUGAAGCAGAAAAUUAAAUAAGAGACAUACCAGUUUCAAAAGAAAGUAAGUAAGCAAAACAGUAGCCUUGAGAGAGCCAAUUUGUAGCUCAAAAAGAUCUCAAGCAAAGCAAAGUGUUGAUUUCAAAAAAAAAAGUAUUGCAGGAACGUAAGUAUUUAGAAGUGUUUUUGUUCGUGUCAAUUUCAGUGUGUGUCAGUGUUUUUGCAAAUAGGGAAGACUAGUCUUUAUAUAAUUUGGAAAAAUAGGCAAUACAUAGGCAAAGAGUGCACAAACAUGGAAAUAUCAAUAAAUUAGUGUAAAUUAAGACAACUGUACUUCUUUAAUUGAGGAAUCUAGUUCAAAGACUAGUCAAAGCAGAAUAAGAAAAGAAAUUAGUUCAAUAGGGCUGACUAGGGAAAAGAAACCACAUAGUGCAUAAACAAGAGCAAAUACAUAGUGAGUAAUUAAGGAAAGUUAGAAUAUUAGUGUUUUUAUAAAGUAAAAAUAGGGCAUUAGUUCGAAGAUCAAUCAAAAGGAUAUUGGAUCCAAUUGAUAAUCAC
This 564-nucleotide long non-coding RNA is filed under the name Nicotiana benthamiana. RNAcentral's name for it is "long non-coding RNA (NBEN_LNC013397)". Lineage: Eukaryota; Viridiplantae; Streptophyta; Magnoliopsida; Solanales; Solanaceae. The record is from RNAcentral.